AUGAUUUUAAAGUUCUGGCCACUAAGUGUGUUGACCAGCCCCAAACACACCGCACCAAGUGGUUUCCUCAGCGUUUUCGGCGUUUCCCGCCUCCUUCUUACCGCCAUCAAUCCUUCAGGCGUCCCUCGGUAUCGAACAACCAGAACCGCCAACAACCUCGCCGAGCUGCUCAGCCGCAAAGACAACGCGGCCGAACCACCCCCACCACUGGUCAGCCUCAUCGGCGUACCUGACGCCAUCUCUCUCUCCCGGGACUCUUUCUACGGUAUCGAUGCAGUUCUCACUCCUCUGCACCCCUCUCCUCUACCAAAUCAACCUCACGGUCUCUUUUUAGACCGCCUGGCUCCCUUCUUUCACCGGUGGAAAUCUAUCACUUCAGAUGCCUGGGUUCUCAAAAUUGUUCAAGAAGGCUAUGCCUUAGAGUUCGAGGAGCUCCCGCCCACGGGACAGGUUCUUCUCUCCAACCCUUCUCGGGAAAUUCUUGCCGAAAUCGACACCCUCCUCGCCAAAGGGGCUAUUCGGCCUUCUCCAUCGGUACGGGACCCUCAAAGCUUCUUCUCCAGAUACUUCACGGUCCCGAAGAGGGGCGGGGGCCUCCGCCCCAUUCUAGACUUACGUAUGCUCAAUACCUUCAUACGUCCGACCAAGUUCAGGAUGGUGUCCAUCGCCUCCAUCCUCCCGAUGCUUCAACGCGGGGACUACUUCGUGUCUAUAGACCUACGGGACGCUUAUUUCCACGUAGCGAUUCGAGAAACCCACAGGCGCUUCCUCUGUUUCAAAGUUCUCGACCAAACCUACCAGUUCACCGUUUUACCCUUUGGCCUCGUUACGGCCCCAAGGGUCUUUACCAAGGUCGUCGCUGUCGUGGCUGCCCACCUCCGGCUCCAGGGGAUCACAGUCUUUCCUUAUCUAGAUGACUGGCUUCUGGUCGAAUCCGACCCUGCCCUCCUCCGACGUCACGUCGACUACACCCUCUCUCUUCUAGAAUCUCUCGGUCUCCAGCUAAACCCCGACAAAUCUCACCUCACUCCGUCGAACAAAAUCCGCUUCAUCGGCGCCCUGUUCGACUCAAUCUCUCAGACUGUCUCUCUCCCGCUCGACAGGUUUCUAGCCCUUCGCCAACAAAUUACCUUUUGCGAGAACCAUCGGAGGGUUCGGGCUCGGUCCAUCCAAGUAUUACUGGGCCACAUGGCCUCCACAGUCCUCAUGACCCCGUUUGCCAGGCACCAUCUUCGAACUCUGCAGAGGUGGUUUAUAGACGUUUUCAAGCCUUUUCGCCACCCCAACUCGAGGUUUCUCUCCGUCCCGCUCCACGUUCGUCGGUCGCUUCAUUGGUGGAAGUCCCUCUCCAACGUCUGCAAGGGUCUUCCGUUCCACCCGAUUCCUCCCUCGACCACCAUAACCAUGGACUCAUCCAAUUUCGGCUGGGGAGCCCACAUGAGCGGUCUUACUGUUCAAGGCCUCUGGUCUCCUUCCGAGAAGGCCAAUCACAUAAACUUUCUGGAACUCCUUGCCAUCUUCAAGGCUCUGAAAGCUUUCUCCCGCCUGAUCUCCCAAAAGUCUGUCCUCGUCCAAUCAGACAACACAGUAGCAGUCUUCUACAUCAACAAACAGGGCGGCACGGGUUCAAGGAAGCUGAUGCUUCUCUCCUCCCAGCUGUGGUACUGGUGCAUAACCCGCAACAUCCAAGUCUCGGCAAUUCACCUUCCUGGGAUCCAAAACAAUUUAGCAGAUGCCCUCAGCAGGAUGACGACCUCCUCCCACGAGUGGAUGCUCGAUCCCGAGACUCUUCUUUCUCUCUUUCACAAAUGGGGUUUUCCCACUCUGGACCUCUUCGCUUCUCCCCAGAACGCUCAGUUGCCUCGGUACGGGGCAAGACUUCCCCCGUCCUCCUUUCCAGGCUGCCUGGGAGACGCCUUCCUUCUCGACUGGUCAUCGGAACCGAUCUACCUCUUUCCGCCCUUUCCUCUCAUUCCAAAGGUUCUGCAGAAACUCCGGUCGAUACCGACGUCGGCGAUCCUGAUAGCCCCAGCCUGGCCUCGCCAACCCUGGUUCCCGGCUCUUCUUCGUCUCUCCAGAGCGACCUUCUUCACUCUGCCUCUCCUGCCACACCUCUUGUCCAGAGAGAACGGCCAGAUCCUGCACCCGGAUCUCCCCUCUCUACAUCUCACUGCUUGGAGGAUUCUCGCCUGA
RNAcentral lists this long non-coding RNA (2193 nucleotides) under Anolis carolinensis (green anole). RNAcentral's name for it is "lncRNA (ENSACAG00000038718.1)". The record is from RNAcentral. Lineage: Eukaryota; Metazoa; Chordata; Lepidosauria; Squamata; Anolidae.